Molecule: ribosomal RNA, 327 nt
Filed under: uncultured eukaryote
Lineage: Eukaryota
Description: partial 18S ribosomal RNA
Rfam family: Eukaryotic small subunit ribosomal RNA
Source: RNAcentral
CCCUUAGAUGUUCUGGGCCGCACGCGUGCUACACUGACGAAUGCAACGAGCUUAUAACCUUGGCCGAAAGGUCUGGGUAAUCUCCAAAUUUCGUCGUGAUGGGGAUAGAUUAUUGCAAUUAUUAAUCUUCAACGAGGAAUGCCUAGUAAGCGCAAGUCAUCAGCUUGCGUUGAUUACGUCCCUGCCCUUUGUACACACCGCCCGUCGCUCCUACCGAUUGAAUGGUCCGGUGAAGCGUUCGGACCGUGGCCUUUGGACGGUUCGCCGUCUGUUGGCUGCGGGAAGUUCGUUAAACCUUAUCAUUUAGAGGAAGGAGAANUCGUAACA